This 1443-nucleotide ribosomal RNA is filed under the name Enterococcus hirae. Its description in RNAcentral is "bacterial SSU rRNA". It matches the Rfam family "Bacterial small subunit ribosomal RNA". The record is from RNAcentral. Lineage: Bacteria; Bacillati; Bacillota; Bacilli; Lactobacillales; Enterococcaceae.
GCCUAAUACAUGCAAGUCGAACGCUUCUUUUACCACCGGAGCUUGCUCCACCGGAAAAAGAGGAGUGGCGAACGGGUGAGUAACACGUGGGUAACCUGCCCAUCAGAAGGGGAUAACACUUGGAAACAGGUGCUAAUACCGUAUAACAAUCGAAACCGCAUGGUUUUGAUUUGAAAGGCGCUUUCGGGUGUCGCUGAUGGAUGGACCCGCGGUGCAUUAGCUAGUUGGUGAGGUAACGGCUCACCAAGGCGACGAUGCAUAGCCGACCUGAGAGGGUGAUCGGCCACAUUGGGACUGAGACACGGCCCAAACUCCUACGGGAGGCAGCAGUAGGGAAUCUUCGGCAAUGGACGAAAGUCUGACCGAGCAACGCCGCGUGAGUGAAGAAGGUUUUCGGAUCGUAAAACUCUGUUGUUAGAGAAGAACAAGGAUGAGAGUAACUGUUCAUCCCUUGACGGUAUCUAACCAGAAAGCCACGGCUAACUACGUGCCAGCAGCCGCGGUAAUACGUAGGUGGCAAGCGUUGUCCGGAUUUAUUGGGCGUAAAGCGAGCGCAGGCGGUUUCUUAAGUCUGAUGUGAAAGCCCCCGGCUCAACCGGGGAGGGUCAUUGGAAACUGGGAGACUUGAGUGCAGAAGAGGAGAGUGGAAUUCCAUGUGUAGCGGUGAAAUGCGUAGAUAUAUGGAGGAACACCAGUGGCGAAGGCGGCUCUCUGGUCUGUAACUGACGCUGAGGCUCGAAAGCGUGGGGAGCAAACAGGAUUAGAUACCCUGGUAGUCCACGCCGUAAACGAUGAGUGCUAAGUGUUGGAGGGUUUCCGCCCUUCAGUGCUGCAGCUAACGCAUUAAGCACUCCGCCUGGGGAGUACGACCGCAAGGUUGAAACUCAAAGGAAUUGACGGGGGCCCGCACAAGCGGUGGAGCAUGUGGUUUAAUUCGAAGCAACGCGAAGAACCUUACCAGGUCUUGACAUCCUUUGACCACUCUAGAGAUAGAGCUUCCCCUUCGGGGGCAAAGUGACAGGUGGUGCAUGGUUGUCGUCAGCUCGUGUCGUGAGAUGUUGGGUUAAGUCCCGCAACGAGCGCAACCCUUAUUGUUAGUUGCCAUCAUUUAGUUGGGCACUCUAGCAAGACUGCCGUGACAACCGAGAGGAAGGUGGGGAUGACGUCAAAUCAUCAUGCCCCUUAUGACCUGGGCUACACACGUGCUACAAUGGGAAGUACAACGAGUCGCAAAGUCGCGAGGCUAAGCUAAUCUCUUAAAGCUUCUCUCAGUUCGGAUUGUAGGCUGCAACUCGCCUACAUGAAGCCGGAAUCGCUAGUAAUCGCGGAUCAGCACGCCGCGGUGAAUACGUUCCCGGGCCUUGUACACACCGCCCGUCACACCACGAGAGUUUGUAACACCCGAAGUCGUAGAGGUAACCUUUGGAGCCAGCCGCCUCAUAU